CCUACGGGUGGCAGCAGUGAGGAAUUUUGGUCAAUGGGCGCGAGCCUGAACCAGCCAAGUAGCGUGAAGGAUGACUGCCCUACGGGUUGUAAACUUCUUUUAUAAAGGAAUAAGGUGAGGCACGUGUGCCUUUUUGUAUGUACUUUAUGAAUAAGGAUCGGCUAACUCCGUGCCAGCAGCCGCGGUAAUACGGAGGAUCCGAGCGUUAUCCGGAUUUGUUGGGUUUAAAGGUAGCGUAGAGGGGUUGUUAAGUCAGUUGUGAAAGUUUGCGGCUCAAACGUAAAAUUGCAAUUGAUACUGGCAGCCGUGAGUACAGUUGAGGUAGGUGGAAUUCGAGGUGUAGCGGUGAAAUGCUUAGAUAUCACGAAGAACUCCGAUUGCGAAGGCAGCUUACUAAACUGCAACUGACAUUGAUUCUCGAAAGUGUGGGUAUCAAACAGGAUUAGAUACCCGAGUAGUC
Molecule: ribosomal RNA, 460 nt
Filed under: uncultured bacterium
Lineage: Bacteria
Description: partial 16S ribosomal RNA
Rfam family: Bacterial small subunit ribosomal RNA
Source: RNAcentral